RNAcentral lists this ribosomal RNA (508 nucleotides) under uncultured bacterium. RNAcentral's name for it is "partial 16S ribosomal RNA". It matches the Rfam family "Bacterial small subunit ribosomal RNA", at positions 30 to 523 of the family's 1533-position model. The record is from RNAcentral.
AUUGAACGCUGGCGGCAGGCCUAACACAUGCAAGUCGAGCGGCAGCGGGAAAGUAGCUUGCUACUUUUGCCGGCGAGCGGCGGACGGGUGAGUAAUGCCUGGGGAUCUGCCCAGUCGCGGGGGAUAACUACUGGAAACGGUAGCUAAUACCGCAUACGCCCUACGGGGGAAAGCAGGGGACCUUCGGGCCUUGCGCGAUUGGAUGAACCCAGGUGGGAUUAGCUAGUUGGUGAGGUAAUGGCUCACCAAGGCGACGAUCCCUAGCUGGUCUGAGAGGAUGAUCAGCCACACUGGAACUGAGACACGGUCCAGACUCCUACGGGAGGCAGCAGUGGGGAAUAUUGCACAAUGGGGGAAACCCUGAUGCAGCCAUGCCGCGUGUGUGAAGAAGGCCUUCGGGUUGUAAAGCACUUUCAGCGAGGAGGAAAAGUUGGUAGCUAAUAACUGCCAGCUGUGACGUUACUCGCAGAAGAAGCACCGGCUAACUCCGUGCCAGCAGCCGCAGUAA